GACAGAGGGUGCGAACGUUGCUCGGAAUGACUGGGCGUAAAGCGCGUGCAGGCGGCUCUGCAAGUCCGAUGUGAAAGCCCAGGGCUCAACCCUGGAAGUGCAUUGGAAACUACGGAGCUCGAGUCCUGGAGAGGAGAGCGGAAUUCCCGGUGUAGAGGUGAAAUUCGUAGAUAUCGGGAGGAACACCAGUGGCGAAGGCGGCUCUCUGGACAGGUACUGACGCUGAGACGCGAAAGCGUGGGUAGCAAACAGGAUUAGAUACCCUGGUAGUCCACGCCGUAAACGAUGAGAACUGGGUGUCGCGGGUAUUGACCCCCGCGGUGCCGAAGCUAACGCGUUAAGUUCUCCGCCUGGGAAGUACGGCCGCAAGGCUAAA
This 376-nucleotide ribosomal RNA is filed under the name uncultured bacterium. Its description in RNAcentral is "bacterial SSU rRNA". It matches the Rfam family "Bacterial small subunit ribosomal RNA", at positions 524 to 898 of the family's 1533-position model. The record is from RNAcentral.